Long non-coding RNA from Erpetoichthys calabaricus (reedfish), 530 nucleotides. RefSeq lists it as uncharacterized. NCBI's taxonomy places the organism in Eukaryota, Metazoa, Chordata, Cladistia, Polypteriformes, Polypteridae. The transcript has 3 exons. The record is from RefSeq and is a predicted model, not a curated record.
ACAUUAAAUCACAAGGAGCAAGAACUGGAAGAGUUAAGAAUUGCAUAUUACAACUUGACCAGUAACAACAGUGCUCUGUUGGCGGCUCAUGCUAUCCUGCAGUCCAAAUAUGAAAGAAACAACAGUUAUCUACAGGAAAGUCGAGAUACCCUGCAGUCUCAGUAUGUAGCUCUGAAUAAGAAGCAUGAAGAACUGGCCAAAGAGUUCAGUAAACUGCAGGAAUACUACUGUGAUGGCACAAACACAUCUCAUGUAAACACUUGCCCGCUAUGUAAAGUGGGCUGGAUCCCCUUCGGUUCCAAGUGUUACUUCAUCUCCAUUACGACACUGACCUGGAAUGAGAGCCAUGAUUGGUGCCUGACAAAGGGUGGACAACUAGUGAAUAUAGAAAACUCAGAGGAGUGGGAAUUUUUGAAAAAUCAAUCUGAAAUCAUUGGAGGUAAUCCAAAAUAUUUUUGGUUUGGCCGAUAUGAUAUCAUUGAAGUAGAGGAAAGUACCAGGAUGGGCGGCGAGCCUGUAAAAUCCAAGAG